RNAcentral lists this ribosomal RNA (429 nucleotides) under Bacteroidota bacterium. Its description in RNAcentral is "Bacteroidetes bacterium partial 16S ribosomal RNA". It matches the Rfam family "Bacterial small subunit ribosomal RNA", at positions 355 to 776 of the family's 1533-position model. Lineage: Bacteria; Pseudomonadati; Bacteroidota. The record is from RNAcentral.
UAGGGAAUCUUCCGCAAUGGGCGAAAGCCUGACGGAGCAACGCCGCGUGAGUGAUGAAGGUCUUCGGAUCGUAAAACUCUGUUAUUAGGGAAGAACAAAUGUGUAAGUAACUAUGCACGUCUUGACGGUACCUAAUCAGAAAGCCACGGCUAACUACGUGCCAGCAGCCGCGGUAAUACGUAGGUGGCAAGCGUUAUCCGGAUUUAUUGGGCGUAAAGCGAGCGCAGGCGGUCAAUUAAGUCUGAUGUGAAAGCCCCCGGCUCAACCGGGGAGGGUCAUUGGAAACUGGUUGACUUGAGUGCAGAAGAGGAGAGUGGAAUUCCAUGUGUAGCGGUGAAAUGCGUAGAUAUAUGGAGGAACACCAGUGGCGAAGGCGACUCUCUGGUCUGUAACUGACGCUGAGGCUCGAAAGCGUGGGUAGCAAACAGG